AGUAUUCAUGUGGAACAUUGGCCUGUAGUUUUCUUAUUUUGAUGUCUCUGUCUGAUUUUGGUAUCAGGGUAAUACUGGCCUCACAGAAUGAAAUGCUUUGAUGUCUUAAAUGGUACAUCCAAACUUAAGUGAAAUAGAGCUGUGAGGACAUUUUGGGGAGAAGUGACCUAGAUAAGCACUGACUGUUGCAUUCAUCUCUCUUCUUGCUGAUUGUGAUGAUUUCCUGUGCCAUAGCCAUUCAAAGUCUGCCAAAAAAGAGUGGAGAAGGAGCAGUUUUUCCAUUUCCCUGAAAAGAAUUGAGUGAAGUUGACAGCAGGAUUGCAGAAGUGGGAGGACCCAAGAGCUAUGCCACGUGUACCUCCUGCCUGAUGUCUUCCCAGAUGUAUACUUCAGGAAGAAUUAAAUAUUCCUGCAAUUCUGGUUUCACAAAAUAUUAUAUGUAGUUCUAUUAAUUUCCAUUCCAUUGUAUUUUCAUUGCUCUUUUCAUGACUUUAUUUCCCAUAGUUUCAUGAAAACAGGAAUUAAAUCAACUUGAGAGGUUUUCCAAGAAUAUAAAAUAAAACAAAUAGAUGAAAGUGAUGAAAGAAAAUAUGAAAGAUGUGGAGGACAGAAAACACACAUCUAAUAUAAGGAUUCUGGGUUUUUUUUUCUGGACAAGAAAUCAAAAUAACAGGAAGAGAAGAAAUAACAUAAUUACAGAAAAUUUUGUGGAACUGAAAAAUGUUUACUUAUGAAAUUGGAAAACCUCAGCAAAUUCUUGGCAAUACUAAUAAAAAAGAAUUUGCAUGUUAUUUGGGUAAAAAUAUAGGACAGCAAGAAGAAACAAAAAACAGGCUGGAUUUUCAUUUUUCUGCCAUAGUUACACUUUUUCAAGGAGAAAUGUUGAGAUAUAAGCAUUUUAUUCACAAAUUAGUUUUUCCUAUAUGAAAGCAAUAGAAAACUAUCAUCAGAUAGGCAAGGGUUCAGAAAAUACGUCAUAAACAUUUUGAAAAAAAUGUCCUAAUAUGUAGUUCACCUUAACUGUGCUAUGAAUGAAAAUAAAUGCUCAAAGUAGGAUGAGCAAUGACGGCAGGUGGUCCAUCAGAAGAAGCCACUAGGGGGACACCAGCUGCAGCAGGGGAGGUGUGGGCCAGGGCUGCAUACUCAAUGGAGCUGGCAGGCCAGAGACAACACUGCUGAGUUGGUGGGGUGGGAACCCUGCUCUCCCAGCUGGGUGGCUGCAGCUGCAGACCGGGCAUCUGUGUACUCCCAGGGACCCAGAAAGCCCCCCAUUUC
RNAcentral lists this long non-coding RNA (1275 nucleotides) under Homo sapiens (human). Its description in RNAcentral is "HSALNT0298293". Lineage: Eukaryota; Metazoa; Chordata; Mammalia; Primates; Hominidae. The record is from RNAcentral.